This 804-nucleotide ribosomal RNA is filed under the name uncultured fungus. RNAcentral's name for it is "SSU rRNA". It matches the Rfam family "Eukaryotic small subunit ribosomal RNA", at positions 564 to 1382 of the family's 1831-position model. Lineage: Eukaryota; Fungi. The record is from RNAcentral.
GUGCCAGCAGCCGCGGUAAUUCCAGCUCCAAUAGCGUAUAUUAAAGUUGUUGUGGUUAAAAAGCUCGUAGUUGAACCUUGGGCCUGGCUGGCCGGUCCGCCUCACCGCGUGCACUGGUCCGGCCGGGCCUUUCCCUCUGUGGAACCCCAUACCCUUCACUGGGCGUGGCGGGGAAACAGGACAUUUACUUUGAAAAAAUUAGAGUGCUCCAGGCAGGCCUAUGCUCGAAUACAUUAGCAUGGAAUAAUAAAAUAGGACGCGCGGUUCUAUUUUGUUGGUUUAUAGGACCGCCGUAAUGAUUAAUAGGGACAGUCGGGGGCAUCAGUAUUCAACUGUCAGAGGUGAAAUUCUUGGAUCAGUUGAAGACUAACUACUGCGAAAGCAUUUGCCAAGGAUGUUUUCAUUAAUCAGGAACGAAAGUUAGGGGAUCGAAGACGAUCAGAUACCGUCGUAGUCUUAACCAUAAACUAUGCCGACUAGGGAUCGGACGGUGUUAUUCAUGACCCGUUCGGCACCUUACGAGAAAUCAAAGUGCUUGGGCUCCAGGGGGAGUAUGGUCGCAAGGCUGAAACUUAAAGAAAUUGACGGAAGGGCACCACCAGGGGUGGAGCCUGCGGCUUAAUUUGACUCAACACGGGGAAACUCACCAGGUCCAGACACAAUAAGGAUUGACAGAUUGAGAGCUCUUUCUUGAUUUUGUGGUGUGAUGCAUGACCGUUCUUAGUGAUGGGGUGACUGUCUGCUAAUGCGAUAACGAACGAGACCUAACCUGCUAAAUAGCCCGCAUGCUCCGGCAGUGCGCUG